Ornithorhynchus anatinus (platypus) is the source of this 298-nucleotide long non-coding RNA. RefSeq lists it as uncharacterized. The transcript has 3 exons. The record is from RefSeq and is a predicted model, not a curated record. NCBI's taxonomy places the organism in Eukaryota, Metazoa, Chordata, Mammalia, Monotremata, Ornithorhynchidae.
CGGCUCCAGAGAACUGUUCUCCUGCUUCUUCAGCUUGACGUGUAUAUGACCGGGGCUGCUAUUCAUUUGGUGCAUGGAGAGGUCAACAACAGUAUAGAUGGUGGUGCAGCGUUGGAACGAUCAGCUGAAGGAUGGAACCUUUCUGGGCAAGAUCCGAGCUGAGCAGCCCAUCCCACCAGGUCCCUUUCUUCUGGCUGGACCAGAGGAUAGAGCAUCACCGGAACAUGACUGGGGAGUAGACUGCCCGCCAGGGACAUGUGUGGGGAGCUGACCGAGGAGAUGCUCCAAAUCUGGGAGG